GAGGGUAGAGCUUAGUGGUAGAGUGCAUACUUAGCAUGCACAAGAUCCUGGGUUCAAUCCCCAGUGCCUCCA
Camelus ferus (Wild Bactrian camel) is the source of this 72-nucleotide transfer RNA. It matches the Rfam family "tRNA". From Rfam's summary of the family: Transfer RNA (tRNA) molecules are approximately 80 nucleotides in length. Their secondary structure includes four short double-helical elements and three loops (D, anti-codon, and T loops). Lineage: Eukaryota; Metazoa; Chordata; Mammalia; Artiodactyla; Camelidae. The record is from Rfam.